This 253-nucleotide long non-coding RNA is filed under the name Sorghum bicolor (sorghum). RNAcentral describes it as "long non-coding RNA (SBIC_LNC017092)". Lineage: Eukaryota; Viridiplantae; Streptophyta; Magnoliopsida; Poales; Poaceae. The record is from RNAcentral.
GCCCGAGGCACCAGGCCGUGCCUGGGCCGCCACCGUGGCCCGUGGCAUGGCUCAGGCACGGCCCGACGGCCCGAUGUUUAAUAUCCCAGUAAAAAAUAUAGCUUUUUAAUUAAAAAAAAUAAAAUAUAGGUCUGUUGGCUCAUCCAUCCAUCCUAAUUGGCCUGUUAAGAAAUGUAGCUUGCUAAUUCUAAACAAAAAAAAGAAAAUAUAGGCCUGCUACUGGCCUGGCAUGACCUUGGCCCGGUGACCCGCC